GACGAACGCUGGCGGCGUGCCUAAUACAUGCAAGUUGAGCGAUGAAGAUUGGUGCUUGCACCAAUUUGAAGAGCAGCGAACGGGUGAGUAACGCGUGGGGAAUCUGCCUUUGAGCGGGGGACAACAUUUGGAAACGAAUGCUAAUACCGCAUAACAACUUUAAACAUAAGUUUUAAGUUUGAAAGAUGCAAUUGCAUCACUCAAAGAUGAUCCCGCGUUGUAUUAGCUAGUUGGUGAGGUAAAGGCUCACCAAGGCGAUGAUACAUAGCCGACCUGAGAGGGUGAUCGGCCACAUUGGGACUGAGACACGGCCCAAACUCCUACGGGGGGCAGCAGUAGGGAAUCUUCGGCAAUGGACGAAAGUCUGACCGAGCAACGCCGCGUGAGUGAAGAAGGUUUUCGGAUCGUAAAACUCUGUCGGUAGAGAAGAACGUUGGUGAGAGUGGAAAGCUCAUCAAGUGACGGUAACUACCCAGAAAGGGACGGCUAACUACGUG
RNAcentral lists this ribosomal RNA (497 nucleotides) under uncultured bacterium. Its description in RNAcentral is "partial 16S ribosomal RNA". It matches the Rfam family "Bacterial small subunit ribosomal RNA", at positions 28 to 507 of the family's 1533-position model. The record is from RNAcentral.